Molecule: non-coding RNA, 98 nt
Filed under: Bdellovibrio bacteriovorus
Lineage: Bacteria; Pseudomonadati; Bdellovibrionota; Bdellovibrionia; Bdellovibrionales; Pseudobdellovibrionaceae
Also listed under: 1 other name
Description: Guanine sequence
Rfam family: Purine riboswitch aptamer
About the family: Riboswitches are metabolite binding domains within certain messenger RNAs that serve as precision sensors for their corresponding targets. Allosteric rearrangement of mRNA structure is mediated by ligand binding, and this results in modulation of gene expression.
Source: RNAcentral
AAUAACUUCAUAGUGUUUCCCCGUAUAUGUUGCGAAUAGGGCGCAGCGUUUCUACCAGGCACCUCAAAUGCCUGACUAUGGAGGUUCUUUGUGAAGUU